AAGAAAUUAGUUAACUUAUAAUAUUAAUCUGUCGCGUUAAAGUAAUCCUCUGGAUAUUUCUUG
RNAcentral lists this transfer RNA (63 nucleotides) under Maguimithrax spinosissimus. Its description in RNAcentral is "Damithrax spinosissimus tRNA-Asp". The record is from RNAcentral. Lineage: Eukaryota; Metazoa; Arthropoda; Malacostraca; Decapoda; Mithracidae.